AGAGUUUGAUCAUGGCUCAGGAUGAACGCUGGCGGCGUAGCCUAAUACAUGCAAGUCGAGCGAACCACUUCGGUGGUGAGCGGCGAACGGGUGAGUAACACGUAGGUGAUCUGCCCAUCAGACGGGGACAACGAUUGGAAACGAUCGCUAAUACCGGAUAGGACGAAAGUUUAAAGGUGCUUCUGGCACCGCUGAUGGAUGAGCCUGCGGCGCAUUAGCUAGUUGGUAGGGUAAAGGCCUACCAAGGCGACGAUGCGUAGCCGACCUGAGAGGGUGAACGGCCACACUGGGACUGAGACACGGCCCAGACUCCUACGGGAGGCAGCAGUAGGGAAUCUUCGGCAAUGGGCGAAAGCCUGACCGAGCAACGCCGCGUGAAUGAUGAAGGCCUUCGGGUUGUAAAAUUCUGUUAUAAGGGAAGAACGACUUUAGUAGGAAAUGGCUAGAGUGUGACGGUACCUUAUAAGAAAGCCACGGCUAACUACGUG
RNAcentral lists this ribosomal RNA (488 nucleotides) under uncultured bacterium. RNAcentral's name for it is "bacterial SSU rRNA". It matches the Rfam family "Bacterial small subunit ribosomal RNA", at positions 8 to 507 of the family's 1533-position model. The record is from RNAcentral.